RNAcentral lists this ribosomal RNA (429 nucleotides) under Verrucomicrobiota bacterium. Its description in RNAcentral is "Verrucomicrobia bacterium partial 16S ribosomal RNA". It matches the Rfam family "Bacterial small subunit ribosomal RNA", at positions 355 to 776 of the family's 1533-position model. Lineage: Bacteria; Pseudomonadati; Verrucomicrobiota. The record is from RNAcentral.
UAGGGAAUCUUCCGCAAUGGACGAAAGUCUGACGGAGCAACGCCGCGUGAGUGAAGAAGGAUUUCGGUUCGUAAAACUCUGUUGCUAGGGAAGAAAAAAUGUAUAGUAACUAUAUACAAAAGAGACGGUACCUAACCAGAAAGCCACGGCUAACUACGUGCCAGCAGCCGCGGUAAUACGUAGGUGGCAAGCGUUGUCCGGAAUUAUUGGGCGUAAAGCGCGCGCAGGUGGUUUAGAAAGUCUGAUGUGAAAGCCCACGGCUCAACCGUGGAGGGUCAUUGGAAACUAAUAAACUUGAGUGCAGGAGAGAAAAGUGGAAUUCCUAGUGUAGCGGUGAAAUGCGUAGAGAUUAGGAGGAACACCGGUGGCGAAAGCGGCUUUUUGGCCUGCAACUGACACUGAGGCGCGAAAGCGUGGGGAGCAAACAGG